CACAGCCCUGCAGAAGAACCAACUGAAAAAAAAAAUUCUCAGGCUUUACAGCAAGCAAACUUCACUAUGAUUUUUACAAUUCUGAUUCUGUAUCCCUGGGGGGGUGUUCCAGUCGCUUCUUUAGGAUGGGGUUUAUUAUGUUGUACAUAUAUUCCAAUGUGUCUGUGUGAAUCUUUGUCUUUUUUGGGGGAGGGCGGAGGGCGGUUCUUUUUUUAGAUAUUGUUCCUAAAAAGGAAUAAAUGCAUACACCUGUUUGUCAAAACACCUUUGCUUUUUGUGCAACUGCUUUAUAUUAACGAUACUAAAAAAAAAAAAAUAGCUUUGGAAAAAAACUACUGUAUGUAAUGGGAUUGCAGAAUAUGCUGCACAUGUAUUUUAUUUAGUUAUCCUUGCUUUAAGAAUAUUGGAUGACAUUUCCUGACAUGUGGGAGGGAGAAGUUCCCUAACCUUUUUUUUUUUUUUUUUUUGGCUUUUAAAUUGUAACAUAGUUGACAGAUUUUUUUUUUUCUGUUCUCAUUGAUCAGAGCAUUUUGUACAGAUUUGUGUGUGUGUGUGUAUGUGUGUGCGCGGGUAUGUGUGUUAAUCUGUUUUUUGAUACAUUCCUAUCCCUUGUGUUUAUCCUACCACUGCCUUCCUGGCUAUCUUAAACCAGUUCAUACAUUUGAAAAGAGAAAAAAAAAUGCUGUUUUAAAAAAUGUUUUCUCCUGCUGCAGUAAAUAUUUUGCAUGAUGAAAUGCCAGGGUCACACUUUCAAAGUUUAUCAGUGAAGUAGUGAUUAAUAAUGGGGAGUUGUCAAAGCUAUUGAACUUUUUGUAUAAAAAAAAAAAAAAGAAAACUUUACAAAGGUGCCAAGAUGUAAAGACAAUUUGUUACUUUUUUUUUUUUUUUUUUUCAAAGAAAAGCAUACAUGAGGGAGUUAGUCCCUUGUAUCAGGCAAAUGCACUGUCAGGAAUGAGAAUCCAUCCUCCUUGUCCCUAGAGUCUGUCCUUGUAAGAGAGUGACACUGCCUGCAGUGAACCAGCAGUGAAAUGAAGCAUCAAGGCUUCUGUAUGUGGAAGAGUGACCGCCAGCCUCCCCACCUUCGGACAGCUCUGCCUCGAUUUCCAGCAUCCCAUCAGACCCAGUAAAGAAUACCUUGGAUUCUUCACCCCAAAUCUGAUUGAUGGAAAUCACUAGCUAUUUUAUCAUGAAAAAAAAAA
Molecule: long non-coding RNA, 1199 nt
Filed under: Canis lupus familiaris (dog)
Lineage: Eukaryota; Metazoa; Chordata; Mammalia; Carnivora; Canidae
Description: lncRNA (ENSCAFG00000054513.1)
Source: RNAcentral